RNAcentral lists this ribosomal RNA (1394 nucleotides) under uncultured bacterium. RNAcentral describes it as "bacterial SSU rRNA". It matches the Rfam family "Bacterial small subunit ribosomal RNA". The record is from RNAcentral.
AGUUUGAUCCUGGCUCAGAUUGAACGCUGGCGGCAGGCCUAACACAUGCAAGUCGAGCGGUAGCACAGAGAGCUUGCUCUCGGGUGACGAGCGGCGGACGGGUGAGUAAUGUCUGGGAAACUGCCUGAUGGAGGGGGAUAACUACUGGAAACGGUAGCUAAUACCGCAUAACGUCGCAAAACCAAAGGGGGGCCCUUUGGCCCUCACCCCUCAGGGUGCCCCAGGUGGGUUUAGGUAGGAGGGGGGAAACCGCUCCCCUGGGGGGCACACUCCUUGUUGUGUUGGAGAGAUCCCCCCCCCCCCUGGGAAUUGAGCCCCGGUCCAAAUCUCUUGGGGGAGCAGCGGGGGGAAUUUUCCACAAUGGGCGCAACCUUGAUCCACCCAUCCCGCGUGUGUGAAGAAGCCCUUCGGGUUGUAAACCACUUUCAGCGGGGAGGAAGGCGAUAAGGUUAAUAACCUUGUCGAUUGACGUUACCCGCAGAAGAAGCACCGGCUAACUCCGUGCCAGCAGCCGCGGUAAUACGGAGGGUGCAAGCGUUAAUCGGAAUUACUGGGCGUAAAGCGCACGCAGGCGGUCUGUCAAGUCGGAUGUGAAAUCCCCGGGCUUAACCUGGGAACUGCAUUCGAAACUGGCAGGCUAGAGUCUUGUAGAGGGGGGUAGAAUUCCAGGUGUAGCGGUGAAAUGCGUAGAGAUCUGGAGGAAUACCGGUGGCGAAGGCGGCCCCCUGGACAAAGACUGACGCUCAGGUGCGAAAGCGUGGGGAGCAAACAGGAUUAGAUACCCUGGUAGUCCACGCCGUAAACGAUGUCGAUUUGGAGGUUGUGCCCUUGAGGCGUGGCUUCCGGAGCUAACGCGUUAAAUCGACCGCCUGGGGAGUACGGCCGCAAGGUUAAAACUCAAAUGAAUUGACGGGGGCCCGCACAAGCGGUGGAGCAUGUGGUUUAAUUCGAUGCAACGCGAAGAACCUUACCUGGUCUUGACAUCCACAGAACUUUCCAGAGAUGGAUUGGUGCCUUCGGGAACUGUGAGACAGGUGCUGCAUGGCUGUCGUCAGCUCGUGUUGUGAAAUGUUGGGUUAAGUCCCGCAACGAGCGCAACCCUUAUCCUUUGUUGCCAGCGGUUAGGCCGGGAACUCAAAGGAGACUGCCAGUGAUAAACUGGAGGAAGGUGGGGAUGACGUCAAGUCAUCAUGGCCCUUACGACCAGGGCUACACACGUGCUACAAUGGCAUAUACAAAGAGAAGCGACCUCGCGAGAGCAAGCGGACCUCAUAAAGUAUGUCGUAGUCCGGAUUGGAGUCUGCAACUCGACUCCAUGAAGUCGGAAUCGCUAGUAAUCGUAGAUCAGAAUGCUACGGUGAAUACGUUCCCGGGCCUUGCACACACCGCCCGUC